Molecule: ribosomal RNA, 447 nt
Filed under: Triticum aestivum (bread wheat)
Lineage: Eukaryota; Viridiplantae; Streptophyta; Magnoliopsida; Poales; Poaceae
Description: partial small subunit ribosomal RNA
Source: RNAcentral
AUGAAGGAGGAGCUCGACAUCCAUGAGAACCUCUGCACAGCCCUGGAGAUGUUCAACAUGGCGAACAAGUGUGCAAGGGCUGAGGAGGGGCGCCUCUCCCUCCUCGAGCUCCCUGAUACUGACCCAGAAGACAAGAACGCUAAGGCCAAGGACAUGAAGCGCAAGGGGCCGGCCGUGCUCGCGGCCAAGCCAGAGAUGAAGCGGGGCUGCGACCACCCCAAGUCGUCCAAGAGCAACCGACCGUUCUGCGUCUUCCACAACGUCCACAACCACAACACCAACGACUGCCAGGAGCUCAAGGCCCUCCGCGACGGGCGUCUUGGUCGACGCUCCGAGCGCAUACGGCCGCGGAGGUGGCCGAGAAGGAGGACGCUGGGAUGGACACGACCAUCGCCAGGAGUGGCGCGUCCAUUCUCGGGAGGACCGUUGGCAGGGCCAACCUCGUGA